UUUUAAAACGCGUCAAAGCGUAACCUUAGCCCCCAAAAUACCAUUAAUUUUCAUGAACCCCUAAUCUAUAAUGAAUGACUCCAUAUUUAUAUGGAAGACACCAUGCUAGGAUUAGUAACAAGAAUUUAUAAUUCUCCAAAAUGCAAAUAUAAACCAACAUGGAUGGACCAUUGGUAGUUACCGAACCUAAAUUCAAUGCAACAACACCUACAAGAAAACUCUGCAGUACUUACUCGUUAACCUAACACCAGCGCAUUACAGGAAAGAUUUAAAAAAAGAGAAGGAAUUCGGCAAAUGACGGCCCCGCCUGUUUACCAAAAACAUCGCCUCUUGACUUAUAAUAAGAGGUCCAGCCUGCCCAGUGAAUUUUAAACGGCCGCGGUAUCCUAACCGCGCGAAGGUAGCAUAAUCACUUGUUCUUUAAAUGGGGACUCGUAUCAACGGCAUCACGAGGGUUUUACUGUCUCCUCUUUUUGAUCAGUGAAAUUGAUCUUCCCGUGAAGAAGCGGGAAUAAAUUUAUAAGACGAGAAGACCCCAUGGAGCUUUAAACCAAAUAACAACUUAACCACUUAUCCCAUAAUAAAUUUAAGCCCUGUUAUAAGGUUUUUGGUUGGGGUGACCGCGGAGUAAAACACAUCCUCCACGACGAAAAAAACAGAAUUUUUAUUUAAGAACCACACUUCUAGAAAUUAGUAUACUAACGUUUACUGACCCGACAAUCGAUCAACGGACCAAGUUACCCUGGGGAUAACAGCGCAAUCUACUUCAAGAGCUCAUAUCGACAAGUAGGCUUACGACCUCGAUGUUGGAUCAGGGUAUCCCGGUGGUGCAGCCGCUACCGAAGGUUCGUUUGUUCAACGAUUAAAACCCUACGUGAUC
Molecule: ribosomal RNA, 880 nt
Filed under: Polypedates leucomystax (Java whipping frog)
Lineage: Eukaryota; Metazoa; Chordata; Amphibia; Anura; Rhacophoridae
Description: partial 16S ribosomal RNA
Rfam family: Bacterial large subunit ribosomal RNA
Source: RNAcentral